AGUUCGAUCAUGGCUCAGAUUGAACGCUGGCGGGAUUUUUACAUGCAAGUCGAACGCUGGCACGGACUUCGGUCUGGUGGCGAGUGGCAGACGGGUGAGUAAUGUAUCGGAACGUGCCUAGUAGCGGGGGAUAACUACGCGAAAGCGUAGCUAAUACCGCAUACGCCCUUCGGGGAAAGCGGGGGACCUUCGGGCCUCACUAUUAAACGGCCGAUAUCGGAUUAGCUAGUUGGUGGGGUAACGGCUCACCAAGGCGACGAUCCGUAGCUGGUUUGAGGACGACCAGCCACACUGGGACUGAGACACGGCCCAGACUCCUACGGGAGGCAGCAGUGGGGGAAUUUUGGACAAUGGGGAAACCCUGAUCCAGCCAUCCCGCGUGUGCGAUGAAGGCCUUCGGGUUGUAAGCACUUUUGGCAGGAAAAGAAACGGCACGGGAUAUUACCCGCGUGCAACUGACAGUACCUGCAGAAUAAGCACCCUGGCGGCUUGCUACGUGCCAGCAACCGCGGUAAUACGUAGGGUGCAAGCGUUAAUCGGAAUUACUGGGCGUAAAGCGUGCGCAGGCGGUUCGGAAAGAAAGAUGUGAAAUCCCAGAGCAACUUUUUUUUUCGGAGACUGCAUUUUUAACUACCGAGCUAGAGUGUGUCAGAGGAGGUGGAAUUCCGCGAUGGCAGUGAAAUGCGUAGAUAUGCGGAGGAACACCGAUGGCGAAGGCAGCCUCCUGGGAUAACACUGACGCUCAUGCACGAAAGCGUGGGAGCAAACAGGAUUAGAUACCCUGGUAGUCCCGCCUAAACGAUGUCAACUAGCUGUUGAGGCCUUCGGAGCAGCGGUAGCGCAACUAACGCGUGAAGUUGACCGCCUGGGAAAUUACGGUCGCAAGAUUAAAACUCAAAGGAAUUGACGGGGACCCGCACAAGCGGUGGAUGAUGUGGAUUAAUUCGAUGCAACGCGAAAAACCUUACCUACCCUUGACAUGUCUGGAAUCCCGAAGAGAUUUGGGAAUUUUCGCAAGAGAACCGGAACACAGGUGCUGCAUGGCUGUCGUCAGCUCGUGUCGUGAGAUGUUAGGUUAAGGUCCACAGCGAAAACAGCCAUGCUGUCAUUGGUUUAACACGAAAGGGCGCUCUGUCGGAGACUGCCGGUAAACCGGAGGAAGAUUGAGGAUGACGUCAAGUCAUCAUGGCCCCUUAUGGGUAGGGCUUCACGUCAUGCAAUAAUGGUCCGGGAUGAAGGUCGCCAGCCCGCGAGGGCCGUCAGAAGCCCCCGUCCGUAAGUCCCCGGAUCGCGGUCUGCAGCUCGACUGCGUGGUCAGAUCCUUCGUAAUGCGGGUCAUGUCGCGGUGAAUACGUUCCCAGGUCUUGUACACACCGCCCGUCACACCGUAAGAUCAGGUUUUACCAGAAGUAGUUAGCUAACCGUAAGGAGGGCGUUACGGUAGGAUUCAUGACUGGGGUGAAGUCGUGACUUUUCUAAGAUG
This 1483-nucleotide ribosomal RNA is filed under the name uncultured Bordetella sp. RNAcentral's name for it is "partial 16S-23S ribosomal RNA intergenic spacer". It matches the Rfam family "Bacterial small subunit ribosomal RNA". The record is from RNAcentral. Lineage: Bacteria; Pseudomonadati; Pseudomonadota; Betaproteobacteria; Burkholderiales; Alcaligenaceae.